Molecule: ribosomal RNA, 504 nt
Filed under: uncultured bacterium
Lineage: Bacteria
Description: bacterial SSU rRNA
Rfam family: Bacterial small subunit ribosomal RNA
Source: RNAcentral
GAUGAACGCUGGCGGCGUGCCUCAAACAUGCAAGUCGAGCGGGGCUAUGUAAUAUCGCAAGGUAGAACAUAGCCUAGCGGCGAACGGGUGAAUAACACGUGGGUAACCUGCCUGGAAGACAGGGAUAACGAUUCGAAAGGGUCGCUAAUACCUGAUAAUAUCCUUUCAUCGCAUGGUGAUAGGAAGAAAGGGGAAACCCGCUUUCAGAUGGGCCCGCGUCCCAUCAGCUAGUUGGUAAGGUAAAGGCUUACCAAGGCGACGACGGGUAGCCGGUCUGAGAGGAUGUACGGCCACACUGGGACUGAGAUACGGCCCAGACUCCUACGGGAGGCAGCAGUUGGGAAUCUUAGGCAAUGGACGAAAGUCUGACCUAGCGACGCCGCGUGAGGGAAGAAGGCCUUCGGGGUUGUAAACCUCUGUCAUGGGGGAAAGUAAGUGACGGUACCCAAGAGGAAGCCCCUGCUAACUACGUGCCAGCAGCCGCGGUAACUACCACAUAGUAGU